GUGCUUGCUUCAGCAGCACAUAUNCUAAAAUUGGAACAAUGCAGCGAAGAUUAACAUGGCCUCUGCACAAGGAUGAUCCACAAAUUCAUGAAGCAUUCCAUGUUAAA
This 107-nucleotide small nuclear RNA is filed under the name Salvator merianae (Argentine black and white tegu). The record is from RNAcentral. Lineage: Eukaryota; Metazoa; Chordata; Lepidosauria; Squamata; Teiidae.